GGGGAAUUUUCCGCAAUGGGCGAAAGCCUGACGGAGCAAUGCCGCGUGAAGGAUGAAGGCCUAUGGGUUGUAAACUUCUUUUCUCAGAGAAGAAUAUUGACGGUAUCUGAGGAAUAAGCAUCGGCUAACUCUGUGCCAGCAGCCGCGGUAAGACAGAGGAUGCAAGCGUUAUCCGGAAUGAUUGGGCGUAAAGCGUCUGUAGGUGGCUUUAAAAGUCUCCUGUCAAAGAUCAGGGCUUAACCCUGGGCCGGCAGGAGAAACUCUGAGGCUAGAGUUUGGUAGGGGCAGAGGGAAUUCCCGGUGGAGCGGUGAAAUGCGUAGAGAUCGGGAGGAACACCAAAGGCGAAAGCACUCUGCUGGGCCACAA
Molecule: ribosomal RNA, 367 nt
Filed under: Chroococcidiopsis sp. K12a
Lineage: Bacteria; Bacillati; Cyanobacteriota; Cyanophyceae; Chroococcidiopsidales; Chroococcidiopsidaceae
Description: bacterial SSU rRNA
Rfam family: Bacterial small subunit ribosomal RNA
Source: RNAcentral